Molecule: long non-coding RNA, 686 nt
Organism: Poecilia latipinna (sailfin molly)
Lineage: Eukaryota; Metazoa; Chordata; Actinopteri; Cyprinodontiformes; Poeciliidae
Exons: 4
Source: RefSeq, a predicted model, not a curated record
UCCGAUAGCCCACUGAGAGAGUUUUGCUGCUGGGACGUCUCUGUUGACGGUUCUUUCUUAUUCAGUCGCCCUAAAGAAGACGUUUUAGAAAGUAACUCUUUGAGGCUCUGCAGAAGGACCAGAUUCUGCUGAGGGUACAUGAAGGGAUUUGUUAGCUUCUCUUGGAGGAGACUUAAUUUUCAUUGACCUGCUGUGAAUCAUCUGUGACUGAUACUCAUUUAAGCCCAUCUGACUGCUAUGUGGACUACUCACAGGGGCCUCUGCAUCAGGAGGUAUACUGCUCUCUGUCAGGUUCAUAUUGGGCACUGCUGAAUGGUUGGUUUUUCUGUGCAACAGUGACAUGACAGACCAUCUGAACAAAGAAACAACUAACAAAAAUGGUAGAGAAGAAUGUGCAGUGGUCUGUUGAGGAAACCCAGCAACUGAUUUCAUUUUGGACUCAAAAGCAAAGUCAUGCCUGGUAAAUGCGUCACUGUACAAUUUCUCUGUUGUUUUUUUGACAUUAGUCUCUCUGUUAGGUCUAGUAAGAGUGAAUACUGUAUUGGUGAUCAGAUGAAGUUCUAUGGAUGUGGAAACUAAAGGAAGAUAUGUAAACAAAGUAAUGCACACAGCUCAGUCGGUUCCGCCAUCUUGCUAGUACUCUCUCCUACCACGUUAUGUAGCACCCACUGUGGACAAUGCAUGAU